RNAcentral lists this ribosomal RNA (253 nucleotides) under uncultured bacterium. RNAcentral's name for it is "partial 16S ribosomal RNA". It matches the Rfam family "Bacterial small subunit ribosomal RNA", at positions 524 to 776 of the family's 1533-position model. The record is from RNAcentral.
UACGGGGGGGGCAAGCGUUGUUCGGAAUUACUGGGCGUAAAGGGCUCGUAGGCGGCCCUCUCAGUCGGAUGUGAAAUCCCCAGGCUUAACCUGGGAACGGCAUCCGAUACUGGAGGGCUUGAAUUCGGGAGAGGGAUGCGGAAUUCCAGGUGUAGCGGUGAAAUGCGUAGAUAUCAGGAGGAACACCAAUUGCGAAGGCAGCUCGCUGGGACGUUACUGACGCUGAGACGCGAAAGCGUGGGGAGCAAACAGG